CUUUACUGCAGAUAUUUUGUUUUAAAAAUAGCUUUGCAUAGUAAAUGCAAUUACUUUUGUAAAACUAAUUAUGUUAAGCCGUAUGUUCAGACACUUUCUGCCAUGGCCAAAAAGUAUGUAUGAAAGUGUGUGUGUAUUUUCUGUGAAAGGAUGCCAGUGUUUUACCUGAUAUUGUAGUGACACUUCAGUUAUCUAUGCAUUCUUUGUAUCUGUGAUUCGGUAAACAGGCAGCCAUGUUCACUAUGCCUUGUAUGUCUUAUCAUUUUUUUAAUUAACCUGUUAAAUACAUAGAAGAAACGGCAAAAUACUUACAAGUUUCUUUUUAUUUUUUAAAAGCAGCUAGAUAGACGCAUACUUGCCACCUCAUACGUGUGCUCCUUGGCCACAUCAAGGGCAAUAGCCAACAUGCCUAUGGCUAAAAACUUUACUUUGCAAACUUAAAGCACUGCUCGGUGCUUCAUUUUUAUAUCCUUCACAACACGUGUGAACUCAUCCAGAGACACACACAUGUCCUCAUGCCCUUUGUUUCCA
This 531-nucleotide long non-coding RNA is filed under the name Bos taurus (domestic cattle). Its description in RNAcentral is "long non-coding RNA NONBTAT022290". Lineage: Eukaryota; Metazoa; Chordata; Mammalia; Artiodactyla; Bovidae. The record is from RNAcentral.